UUGUAAUUGUAUUUAAAUAUAUUAGUAUAUUGUAAUUAUAUUGAUCGAUUAUUAAUUAAAUUCACUUCUAAAUAUGUUUUCAAUUUAAAGUUCUUAGAAUGAUGCAUUGAUAUAAAAAUGUUACAUAUACUACUUGUAUUUAUUCAGUUUUGACUUCAUAAAUUUCCGUUACGAAGAUGCAGAAGUGAAAGCUAUAGAGACAAUGCAGGUUAUCUGUGCACAGAUUGCCGAAGUUGAACACUAUGUCCUGGUGGACGUAUCCAUACUGAUAUAUGAAAAAAUUUCAAAGAAGGUGGUUUACGACGACAAAGUUUAUCUCUUCCUGGAAGAGGAAACAACUCUUACCGAAUUCGAUCAACAAAUUUGUUUCGAUAGUGAACAAAAUUCACAGAUCUACCAUAAACGAAAAGAAUGUUUUGAUUGUGUAUGGUGACGGAUAUACACCUGGUGGUGUAUUUGUUGUCUUGUCAUAUAUCAUAGAAAAAUAUGAAUACGAAUUAGAAAAUUAU
Molecule: long non-coding RNA, 509 nt
Organism: Zophobas morio
Lineage: Eukaryota; Metazoa; Arthropoda; Insecta; Coleoptera; Tenebrionidae
Exons: 3
Source: RefSeq, a predicted model, not a curated record